RNAcentral lists this unclassified non-coding RNA (232 nucleotides) under Glomeromycotina sp. RNAcentral describes it as "partial contains 5.8S ribosomal RNA and internal transcribed spacer 2". The stretch from base 1 to 71 matches the Rfam family "5.8S ribosomal RNA", at positions 84 to 154 of the family's 154-position model. The record is from RNAcentral. Lineage: Eukaryota; Fungi; Glomeromycota.
GUGAAUCAUCGAAUUUUUGAACGCAAAUUGCACUCUCUGGUAUUCCGGAGAGUAUGCCUGUUUGAGGGUCAGUUUAAAUAAAAACCGGUGUGGUUGCGGCCUUUCGUGGUGGCGCACCGGAUGUGGGUGGUCUUUCCUUUGGGUAUGUGACCUAUAAUGUGGCAUGAUUUUUUCGAACGCAUUUAAAUGAUUUGACGUACGUUUGCGCGUUAGAAUAGUAAGUGUGGUCAUC